RNAcentral lists this ribosomal RNA (292 nucleotides) under uncultured bacterium. Its description in RNAcentral is "partial 16S ribosomal RNA". The record is from RNAcentral.
GGACUACUAGGGUAUCUAAUCCUGUUUGCUCCCCACGCUUUCGCGCCUGAGCGUCAGUACCGAGCCAGAUGGCCGCCUUCGCCACCGGUGUUCUUCCUAAUAUCUACGAAUUUCACCUCUACACUAGGAAUUCCGCCAUCCUCUCUCGGACUCGAGCGGUCCCGUUUCAAAGGCAAUUCCGGAGUUGAGCCCCGGGCUUUCACCUCUGACAAAGACCACCGCCUACGCGCGCUUUACGCCCAGUAAUUCCGAACAACGCUAGCCCCCUUCGUAUUACCGCGGCGGCUGGCAC